RNAcentral lists this ribosomal RNA (801 nucleotides) under Halobacillus kuroshimensis. RNAcentral describes it as "bacterial SSU rRNA". It matches the Rfam family "Bacterial small subunit ribosomal RNA", at positions 56 to 825 of the family's 1533-position model. Lineage: Bacteria; Bacillati; Bacillota; Bacilli; Caryophanales; Bacillaceae. The record is from RNAcentral.
UGCAGUCGAGCGCGGGAAGCGAGCGGAUCCCUUCGGGGUGAAGCUCGUGGAACGAGCGGCGGACGGGUGAGUAACACGUGGGCAACCUGCCUGUAAGAUCGGAAUAACCCCGGGAAACCGGGGCUAAUGCCGGGUAAUACUUUUCUUCGCAUGAAGAUGAGUUGAAAGAUGGCUUCUCGCUAUCACUUACAGAUGGGCCCGCGGCGCAUUAGCUAGUUGGUGAGGUAACGGCUCACCAAGGCAACGAUGCGUAGCCGACCUGAGAGGGUGAUCGGCCACACUGGGACUGAGACACGGCCCAGACUCCUACGGGAGGCAGCAGUAGGGAAUCUUCCGCAAUGGACGAAAGUCUGACGGAGCAACGCCGCGUGAACGAUGAAGGUCUUCGGAUCGUAAAGUUCUGUUGUCAGGGAAGAACAAGUACCGUGCGAAUAGAGCGGUACCUUGACGGUACCUGACGAGGAAGCCCCGGCUAACUACGUGCCAGCAGCCGCGGUAAUACGUAGGGGGCAAGCGUUGUCCGGAAUUAUUGGGCGUAAAGCGCGCGCAGGCGGUUCCUUAAGUCUGAUGUGAAAGCCCACGGCUCAACCGUGGAGGGUCAUUGGAAACUGGGGAACUUGAGGACAGAAGAGGAGAGUGGAAUUCCACGUGUAGCGGUGAAAUGCGUAGAUAUGUGGAGGAACACCAGUGGCGAAGGCGACUCUCUGGUCUGUUUCUGACGCUGAGGUGCGAAAGCGUGGGUAGCAAACAGGAUUAGAUACCCUGGUAGUCCACGCCGUAAACGAUGAGUGCUAGGUGUUA